CAGGCAUUACUGGACUCAUUGCUCCAGAAGUGUUCCCUUGAAAAGAAGCUCGUGGAGGAGCAAUAACACGUUCAAUGAAGAAAAUACCUUCCCGGACAUUCAUUCAUCCAUGAGAUGGUGCUGUCCCUCCUCAGGGGGCCCUUGGCCUCCAGUUUCCUGGAGCUUGAGGUGGUCCUUGUCAAGAACAACUCUUGGUGAUUCUGCUGGGAUGUCAUUCAGAGCUGCAAAGGGACUGCCUUCUGAGAUCAGCUUGCUGACUACAAAAAAACCCCCAGAAAACAAAAGCAACCCUUGAAGAUUCUUAUUACCUUGAUUCUUGGUUUUCCCUUUGAGUUGAAGAUGGCAAAUUCUUUUCCUAAGCCUUGCAGUGGACUGCUGUUAUGAAGG
Molecule: long non-coding RNA, 387 nt
Organism: Artibeus jamaicensis (Jamaican fruit-eating bat)
Lineage: Eukaryota; Metazoa; Chordata; Mammalia; Chiroptera; Phyllostomidae
Exons: 3
Source: RefSeq, a predicted model, not a curated record